Non-coding RNA from Penaeus vannamei (Pacific white shrimp), 279 nucleotides. The record is from RefSeq and is a predicted model, not a curated record. Lineage: Eukaryota; Metazoa; Arthropoda; Malacostraca; Decapoda; Penaeidae.
GGCAAAGCUUCAUUCAGUCACUCGCGGAGAUCCAUAAGGGGACCGACUUCUGUCAAGGGCCGGACAGGAGAGGCGCCUUUCCAUUAAUCCGUCGUAAAUCCUGGCCUGUCUGGUGUGUGGCCGGGAAAAGAUCCGGCGAUUAAGAACCGAGGAAGAAUUUAGAAAUGAAAACUGUUUUUCUAAACGGAAAUGGAAAAUUAGAUAUUUUUUUAUUUGAAUUAAUGUGUCUCUGUAAAAUAUCAUAUAUACUCUUGAUUAUAAUAAAUAUAAGUGGUUGAA